UACGUAGGGGGCAAGCGUUAUCCGGAAUUACUGGGCGUAAAGCGUGCGCAGGCGGUUAUGCAAGACAGAUGUGAAAUCCCCGGGCUUAACCUGGGAACCGCAUUUGUGACUGCAUAGCUGGAGUACGGCAGAGGGGGAUGGAAUUCCGCGUGUAGCAGUGAAAUGCGUAGAUAUGCGGAGGAACACCGAUGGCGAAGGCAGUCCCCUGGGCCUGUACUGACGCUCAUGCACGAAAGCGUGGGGAGCAAACAGG
RNAcentral lists this ribosomal RNA (253 nucleotides) under uncultured bacterium. RNAcentral describes it as "partial 16S ribosomal RNA". It matches the Rfam family "Bacterial small subunit ribosomal RNA", at positions 524 to 776 of the family's 1533-position model. The record is from RNAcentral.